AUCACCUGGGGUUCUUGUUCAAAUGCAGAUUCUGAUUCUGUAGGUCAGGAGUGAGCUCUGAAAUUCUGCAUUGCUAACAAGUUCCCAGGUGAUGUCA
RNAcentral lists this microRNA precursor (97 nucleotides) under Tursiops truncatus (common bottlenose dolphin). Its description in RNAcentral is "miRNA (ENSTTRG00000024358.1)". Lineage: Eukaryota; Metazoa; Chordata; Mammalia; Artiodactyla; Delphinidae. The record is from RNAcentral.